This 550-nucleotide ribosomal RNA is filed under the name uncultured Glomus. RNAcentral's name for it is "SSU rRNA". It matches the Rfam family "Eukaryotic small subunit ribosomal RNA", at positions 548 to 1098 of the family's 1831-position model. The record is from RNAcentral. Lineage: Eukaryota; Fungi; Glomeromycota; Glomeromycetes; Glomerales; Glomeraceae.
UUGGAGGGCAAGUCUGGUGCCAGCAGCCGCGGUAAUUCCAGCUCCAAUAGCGUAUAUUAAAGUUGUUGCAGUUAAAAAGCUCGUAGUUGAAUUUCGGGAUCAAUAUUUCGGUCAUGCCGUUGGUAUGCACUGUUAUCAUUGAUUUCUCACCUUCUAAAGAACCGUAAUGCCAUUAAUUUGGUGUUUCGGGGAAUUAGGGCUGUUACCUUGAAAAAAUUAGAGUGUUUAAAGCAGGCUCACGCUUGAAUACAUUAGCAUGGAAUAAUGAAAUAGGACAUCCGAUUCUAUUUUGUUGGUUUCUAGGAUCGAUGUAAUGAUUAAUAGGGAUAGUUGGGGGCAUUAGUAUUCAAUUGUCAGAGGUGAAAUUCUUGGAUUUAUUGAAGACUAACUACUGCGAAAGCAUUUGCCAAGGAUGUUUUCAUUAAUCAAGAACGAAAGUUAGGGGAUCGAAGACGAUCAGAUACCGUCGUAGUCUUAACCAUAAACUAUGCCGACUAGGGAUCGGAUGAUGUUAAUUUUUUAAUGACUCAUUCGGCGCCUUACGGGAAAC